UCCGACUAGAGCUAGAGCUUUCUUAAUUUUCUAAACCUUUGUCCAGCUUGACUUUAAACUUCAAACUUGUCUCAGGCUUGGCACUGAUUUCCAUUAAACAAAAAUGAAAUUAAACGGAAACUUGUAUACGGGAUUUAUUCAGAGUGGCUUGUUGCUCUGCUGCUAAACAUGUAAUGUAUCGUAAAAGAUCUAAACUAAGCAGCUGCAACGCUAUAGUACCUCAGGCUGCACUGCAGAGGAGAAAUAUGCAAAAAAGAAUAGAGUAAGCCCCACUUUCAAGUUAAAUAGCUGCAAUUUAUUUGUGCCAAAUAUCAAAUUGCAAUUGGCUUCUGACUUUAAGCUCGUAAUUUUUUUGGCAUUUGACAAAUGCGCGCUACAUAGAUAAAGCGGAUUGCGGAGCUCGAGGGGAUGGGUAAGGAGCGGGUGGGGAGUGCUGGGAGGUGGGAUGAGACAUCUGAAUGCUUAUGCAGAUAGGUACGCAGUUGAUGUUGGAGCCAUUCGAGUCAAUGCCUGCGACUGCAUAUUGCACGUUUCAGAUAUUCGCAAAGAAUGCUGGAGUCGACGACACAUGCAUUGCCGUGGGAGCGAGGACACGAAGAUGCGACCAGGAGGAGGAGGAGCAGCACUUUAAGCGCUAAAUAAACAUGAAUCUGUGACACGAAAUGAGCUCGCCUUCCUGUCUGAGCCCCCAGCAAGCAGCAAGCAGCAAGCAGGAACCAGCAACCUCACCCUGGCAGCAGUCGCAGUCGCCCUCGCAGUAGUCCCUCGCCGCCUGUUUGCUUUUGUGCGGCAUUUGUGGCACGCCGAGCCUCACAUUACCUUUUGUGCGCCGGCAACACAUAAACGAGGACGCGCGUGUACAGGAAGUGCAUUAAAAGCGCAAGGCUUCAAGUGCAGCUGGCAGUGUGCGCGAUGCCGUGUGGACUUGCACAUGCCACGGCAUUCCUUCUCCUAAGCUCGCCAAGAUUACAAUGCGCUCAGCUUGCUCAGCUGCUCAACUGCUCUCGUAACGUCUGCCUACCCAGCUCUGCCCAGCCUGCCCAGCUCAGCCCAGCUCUGCCCAGCCUGCCCUGCCAGUGGGUAAUCAAGCCUCGCUCGUACAGACAUAAGAUGUUCCGUGAGCAUUUGUAACUGCUCUAAGAGUAAUAUACCGUUACAUACUAUUUACUACUGUAGUAAGUUUAAUACAAUUGUGCAAGCACUACGAUACUUGGCUAUAGCUGCAGCUUGCGCCUCAUCCCUCUACUCAGGCAUUAAAACCACCUCGACCUAUA
Long non-coding RNA from Drosophila mojavensis, 1274 nucleotides. RefSeq lists it as uncharacterized. The record is from RefSeq and is a predicted model, not a curated record. NCBI's taxonomy places the organism in Eukaryota, Metazoa, Arthropoda, Insecta, Diptera, Drosophilidae. The transcript has 2 exons.